This 21-nucleotide microRNA is filed under the name Taeniopygia guttata (zebra finch). RNAcentral's name for it is "Tgu-Mir-34-P3c_5p (mature (guide))". The record is from RNAcentral. Lineage: Eukaryota; Metazoa; Chordata; Aves; Passeriformes; Estrildidae.
UGGCAGUGUAUGUUGGCUGCU